CAGCUUCCUAAGAAAAACAAGGCAGUAGGAAGUGAGUGCUUCCCCUUCUCCUAAGGAUGGAAUCAAGAGCUCCUCGAGCCACGGGACUCAUGGAAACUUGCUGAGGGAGAUGUUCAUCUGACACACUCUCACCCCAGAGAUUUCACCAGACUUCGGUGCUUUAGGGGGCUGUUGUACCAUCUACAGAGGGUUUGGCAAACACGAGCUCCCUCUUUGGAAGGGAAAACGGCCACACUUGGCUUUUAAUGAUGGAAUUGGCUCUCAGCUGUCCCAGCACCAACAGCCUCGGGACAAACAUCUCCUCUGGCAGGACACAGGCUUUCCAGACAACCACCAAACCCCACCGUAACCAGAUCCACGAGAGCCAAAGGCAUCUGGGAGGUGACCUUAGGACAUCCAGAAUAUCCUCAUCUCCCACAGCUUUAGGCUACAGAGGGAGUCUCACCAUCAUUUAAGCACCAGCAGUCUGAGCACAGGACAGGGGCCAUAAAUACUUUCUACUUCCCCUCCAAUUCCCCACAUCAGCACUUAAACAACUCUGCCAGGGAAUGGAGCCACGGGCUUAUCCAUCUAUUUUUCCAAAUGCCAGCAAUAUUUUAAUAGUCUUUUGUGCCACAAAGUAAAUACCAAGAAACAUCCCC
This is a long non-coding RNA of Pseudopipra pipra, 641 nucleotides long. RefSeq lists it as uncharacterized. The record is from RefSeq and is a predicted model, not a curated record. The transcript has 3 exons. NCBI's taxonomy places the organism in Eukaryota, Metazoa, Chordata, Aves, Passeriformes, Pipridae.